GGAGUCUCGUCUGACGACUCUUCUUCCUCCAGCUUGGCCUUUCCCUUGGACUGUAUUGGGAUUGCCUCUGUUUGAGUCUUUGGAGUGUCGAUGGAAGCCUCCUCCCUAAUCCUGGGAGCCAUGAAGGAGGUCUCUUCCUGAGUUUUAUACUGCUCGAGAUUAGUUUGUAAUCUUUUUAUGUACUGUGCAUCUACUCAUUAUUUAUAUUGCUGAAAUCAGCUUCAUUGGCCAUUGAUGGGGUAUUUUAUCUUCUACUAAGGGUGGAGAGAAUGAUUACGCCCUUGUUGGAAGCAACCUUAGCAGCAGGUUGUGAAUUGUCAGCCAUUUUAGAGAAUAGAAAAGGAAAAAGUUUCUUUUUAAGAGAA
Molecule: long non-coding RNA, 365 nt
Filed under: Manihot esculenta (cassava)
Lineage: Eukaryota; Viridiplantae; Streptophyta; Magnoliopsida; Malpighiales; Euphorbiaceae
Description: long non-coding RNA (MESC_LNC013117)
Source: RNAcentral